RNAcentral lists this transfer RNA (70 nucleotides) under human gut metagenome. It matches the Rfam family "tRNA". Rfam says of the family: Transfer RNA (tRNA) molecules are approximately 80 nucleotides in length. Their secondary structure includes four short double-helical elements and three loops (D, anti-codon, and T loops). The record is from RNAcentral.
AAGCUUAGCUCAGUUGGUAGAGCUUCUGCCUUACAAGCAGGGGGUCAUAGGUUCGAGUCCUAUAGCUUCC